Molecule: long non-coding RNA, 472 nt
Filed under: Nicotiana benthamiana
Lineage: Eukaryota; Viridiplantae; Streptophyta; Magnoliopsida; Solanales; Solanaceae
Description: long non-coding RNA (NBEN_LNC020752)
Source: RNAcentral
UUCAUUAUUGGACGAAGAACGUAAGAAGUAAAAACCAACAAUUUGAUUCUAUCUUAAACUCUGCAGUCUGCACAGCUAAAAGUCUAAAACCAAUUUAUGGCUCAAUAAUUCCACUGGUGCUACGCCUCCGAAGAAGCAAAAGAUCUUCGGCUCACUCUACAAAAGUGGUCAAAAGCCCAAAGUUAUCGUAAGAUUAUUUUAACUUGCCGAACAAGUGAAAGGUCAGUGGUCGCAUCUCACUUGUUUAUUUUACGGCAUAGUAAGGUAGGUUGUUUAGCAACAUGCACACAGACGCAUCAUUCACAAAAAGCACCAUUAAUGUGGAACCCAAAUAGUAAACAUUUCUGAUUCUAUUUUGUUGAUAGAUGAUAAUUGCUUGCUUAUGGUGACACAGUUUGCAGUUUGAGAAAACCAUUAUCUAAUUGGUUUUUGAAUCUUGUGCUCAUGCCCAAGAAAGAUGGGUAAGGAUUGG